CACAGAAGAGAACCAUGGAACCCAGUGACUAGUGUUCAGCUCUAUUAGGACGAACCCAGGCACUUAGCCAUGCAGGAACAAUGGCAAGCCUUUAGCCCGAUCGGGAGUGGCAAUGGGCGCCUCGAUGGAUCAGGAGCACAGCGGACACCCUGCCAGAUCUGGAGGGAUGGAAGUCAGCGGUGGGUCUGCGAAAGCGCAAACAGGAGUGGUGGACAGCAAGUGAAAGCUCACCUCGAGCCGUAAGGAACACGGAACAAAAGAGAGUGCAGUUGCAAGAUUUAAUAGAGUGAAGACAGAGCUCCCAUACAAAAAGAGAGGACCCAAAGAGGUCAUCAGUUAGAUGAAUAUGUAUUUGAAAGCUGUUCAUUCAUUGUGGAGAUGUGGGUAGACAGCAGUAAAUAUGCCCCAUGGCACUGAUUAACUCAAAGUGGCUCCAGGCCAAAGAUUUUAUGCUUCAGUGGAGAUAUUUUUGCCAUCAGCAGGACUUUGUUGACCAUACAUUAUGAGGGAAAUAUUUAAUACUAUUUGGAGACUGAUAUAUUUUCCUCUUAUCUAGAGUAAAAUAAAUUAUAAGAAGUGAUGAAAACAACCAUUUAAUUAGACUUACAAUGGCUAUUGAGUUAAUCUUCAAGUUAUUUUCCUACGGGCCCUUUUAAGAGAAGGUUGGAAAGAAGGAACCAUGUUUACCAGAGAUGUUUCCCAAGAUGGACAACAGACUGACCAUGUUGAUUCAGAACUAAGUACUAAUAAAAAGGAGUUUAAUAAGAAGUCUAAUAGAAAUCAAAUUGUAUUUAUCAACUUUAAUUCUAUUUUAAUGCACGAGUCCUAACAGCCAAACGACUAAUAUGCUGACAUUUCUUAAUUCAUUUUUU
This 872-nucleotide long non-coding RNA is filed under the name Homo sapiens (human). RNAcentral describes it as "HSALNT0055949". The record is from RNAcentral. Lineage: Eukaryota; Metazoa; Chordata; Mammalia; Primates; Hominidae.